GCUUGUAUCUGAUAUUCUUUAUUGUUCUGUUUUAAAGAACUUUUUGUUAUAUAUCAUGAACCAAUAUUCGAACAAUCACUGAUCAUGAAUGCAUGCAAUACAUUUAUUAAAUAAUUUCGUUUGUUGGCAUUCUAAAUUUUAUUAAUGUAUGUUAGUGAUGGAGUUGGAGCAUGGCAAUGAUUUUGUCGUUGCAGAUACAACAAGUGAUUCUUCAAUUUCACCGGAUAAGAAAAGAAAAAAGUUACUAAAUUCACAGACUUUCAGACGUGAUAAAGG
Long non-coding RNA from Salvia miltiorrhiza (redroot sage), 276 nucleotides. RefSeq lists it as uncharacterized. The record is from RefSeq and is a predicted model, not a curated record. Lineage: Eukaryota; Viridiplantae; Streptophyta; Magnoliopsida; Lamiales; Lamiaceae. The transcript has 2 exons.